AAAUUUUAAAUUUGAAAUAGAAAAAUUUAAAUUUAGAUUUAGAAUUCAAAAUUUAAGUUUUAAAUUUUGAAUUUAUAUUUUAAACUAAAAAUAGAAUUUUAAUUUUUUGUGCAAAGUUUAAAUUUUAAAUUUAAAUUUAAAUUCAGAUUCAAAUUGUAAAUUAUUUGAAAAUAAAAUUUAGUAAAAAAUUAUUAUUUGAAAAAAUAAAAAAAAAAUUUGCCAACCAUUUUAUAAAAUCACUUUCAAAAUACUAUUUUACUUCUAUACUCAGCCGAACGCUGUACAACUUUUUAACGAAAAUGAAAUUUUCAAACUAAAAUUAAUUUUU
Molecule: long non-coding RNA, 328 nt
Filed under: Ananas comosus (pineapple)
Lineage: Eukaryota; Viridiplantae; Streptophyta; Magnoliopsida; Poales; Bromeliaceae
Description: long non-coding RNA (ACOM_LNC034266)
Source: RNAcentral